CCUACGGGAGGCAGCAGUGGGGAAUAUUGGGCAAUGGACGCAAGUCUGACCCAGCAACGCCGCGUGAAGGAAGAAGGCUUUCGGUAUGUAAACUUCUAUCAGCAGGGAAGAAAAUGACGGUACCUGACUAAGAAGCCCCGGCUAACUACGUGCCAGCAGCCGCGGUAAUACGUAGGGGGCAAGCGUUAUCCGGAUUUACUGGGUGUAAAGGGAGCGUAGGCGGUUUAGCAAGGCAGAAGUGAAAGCCCGGGGCUCAACUCCGGGACUGCUUUUGAAACUGUUGAACUAGAUUGCAGGAGAGGUAAGUGGAAUUCCUAGUGGAGCGGUGAAAUGCGUAGAUAUUAGGAGGAACACCAGUGGCGAAGGCGGCUUACUGGACUGUAAAUGACGCUGAGGCUCGAAAGCGUGGGGAGCAAACAGGAUUAGAUACCCUUGUAGUC
This 440-nucleotide ribosomal RNA is filed under the name uncultured bacterium. RNAcentral describes it as "partial 16S ribosomal RNA". It matches the Rfam family "Bacterial small subunit ribosomal RNA", at positions 338 to 795 of the family's 1533-position model. The record is from RNAcentral.